Molecule: small RNA, 52 nt
Filed under: Caenorhabditis elegans
Lineage: Eukaryota; Metazoa; Nematoda; Chromadorea; Rhabditida; Rhabditidae
Description: Unclassified non-coding RNA C01C4.7
Source: RNAcentral
AAUAACUGCGUAGGUGGCAGAAGCAUAGGACCUCUGAACCUUUUUUUCCGGU